Non-coding RNA from Saimiri boliviensis boliviensis (Bolivian squirrel monkey), 4758 nucleotides. The record is from RefSeq and is a predicted model, not a curated record. NCBI's taxonomy places the organism in Eukaryota, Metazoa, Chordata, Mammalia, Primates, Cebidae.
CUCCUCUGCAUCCCGGGGGAGCCUCCAUCGGUGGAGCCCAACUCAAAAACAUGGGCUCUUGUCAAGGAGAUAUCUGAUCAGAUCCCAAAAUGAGCAAUUAUGAGGGCUCACGGUCGGAGCCAGGCGCCUCUGGCAGAGGAAUUUAAUUUGAAGUGUUCUAUCUCAAGCCAUGGGGCUGGCCUGCUUUCUGGGGCAGGAGGUCGGCCUACCAGGGAGAGGCUGCUCGGGCGGAUGUGCUCCUGUGGCCCAGGUGAUCCCCGGUCAAGCAGAGGAUCCAGAGAGCUUUGGACGCUCAGCCCGCAAGGUCCCCGAGCAUGCGGCCUUUGAGGUUGGGGCUGAGGAGUCACAGUGCAGCAGAGCCCAGGGUGCGCAGUGUGGACAGCAUGGCCACCGACUGGACACAGGGAGGCCAGGCCCCGGAGUGGCAGCAUGGCCCACCAGGCCACGCCGGCAAGUGCGCAGAGAAGGAAAAGGUGCCCUCUCAGGACUGUCGAAACGGGAAGGUGCCGCCCCUUCUGGGGGAGGACGUGGAAGACGCCCCUUCCUGAACUCAGCCAGGGUCAGGGCAGGCACCGGGGGCAGGUGCUGGCUGGACCCGACCCUCAGCCCUGGGGUGCAACCGAUGGCGGCUGGACCUGCCCUCACCCUGAUCUCCGGGUGAGCUGCGGGCCCCUUCCUCAAUCCGGAUCUCGGGGUGAACUGCGGGCCCCUUCCUUAAUCCGGAUCUCGGGGUGAGCUGCGGGGCCCUUCCUCAAUCCGGAUCACCGGGUGAGCUGCGGGGCCCUUCCUCAAUCCGGAUCUCCGGGUGAACUGCGGGCCCCUUCCUCAAUCCGGAUCACCGGGUGAGCUGCGGGGCCCUUCCUCAAUCCGGAUCUCCGGGUGAACUGCGGGCCCCUUCCUCAAUCCCGAUCUCGGGGUGAACUGCGGGCCCCUUCCUCAAUCCAGAUCUCCGGGUAAGCUGCGGGCCCCUUCCUCAAUCCGGAUCUCCGGGUGAACUGCGGGCCCCUUCCUCAAUCCCGAUCUCGGGGUGAACUGCGGGCCCCUUCCUCAAUCCAGAUCUCCGGGUGAGCUGCGGGCCCCUUCCUCAAUCCGGAUCUCCGGGUGAACUGCGGGCCCCUUCCUCAAUCCCGAUCUCGGGGUGAACUGCGGGCCCCUUCCUCAAUCCAGAUCUCCGGGUAAGCUGCGGGCCCCUUCCUCAAUCCCGAUCUCCGGGUGAGCUGCGGGCCCCUUCCUCAAUCCCGAUCUCCGGGUGAACUGCGGGCCCCUUCCUCAAUCCCGAUCUCGGGGUGAACUGCGGGCCCCUUCCUCAAUCCGGAUCUCGGGGUGAGCUGCGGGGCCCUUCCUCAAUCCCGAUCUCGGGGUGAGCUGCGGGCCCCUUCCUCAAUCCCGAUCUCGGGGUGAGCUGCGGGGCCCUGUCUCUGUCCUCCCCAUGGAUGGUCCAGAUCCUGGGAAGGGUCAGGGUCCCUUGGGCCCCAGAGGCAGUGCUGCCAGGCUCUGGAGUUCCAGCACAGUGUGCGCCAUCCUGUAACCCCAGGCCCUCUGUAGACACCUGCUCUCCAUUCGUGGUCUCCCCCUCCCUCACUGAUUCCCUCCAGGACUCCUCCCUCAGCCUGGAAUCCGCCUCACUGGAGCCCCAGCUCCUGCCCUCUGCAGCCCUGUUCUGUGAGUGUCCUGAACUCUCCAGCGAGGCCAGGCCUGGGGCUGAGCUCUUCCUUCCGAGGCAUUAACCUUGGAUUGCUGGGACGGAAUGAGUUUGGCAUAGCUGCAGGAUGUCUGUUCUAACAGCAUGCCCAGGCAGCUCUCCUAGGCCUGAUUUCAGCAGAAUUGGCCUCUCUGCCCAGGAACCUGUGUGGAAGCUGAAAGCAUGGCUGGGAGGGGAGCUGGAUGUCAGCCCUGUGUUCCCAUCUCGGCCAAAUGUUGGAGCGGAUCCACUCACAGGCUCUAAACACGCACACGCGGAGGGUUUUGGGAACUUCUGCAGAGCGGCCUCCACAACUCAAGUAUUUGUUUUAACGUCACCGGCUGACUUCGGGCUCUGGAGUCACCUGCAGAACGCCCAGUGCGCCCUCUCUAGUCCCUGCCUCCCUUUGACCAUUGACUUGUCCAGUGGAUGCCGGCAUCAAACCAGCAGCGUCUGUGACAAGGACCUGGGUUGCUGGCUGCAGAAACCUCAUCAAUGCAGAGAGGCUCACGAACAAUCCUCCACCUCUGGGCGUGCCAGGCAGAGCAGGGCAGGGGUGGUGGGCAAGGGCUGCUCGGGAUCAGGCAGGGGGAGCCAGCUGCGAGCUUCCUCGGCCCAGAGCUCUCCUUUGCCAUAAGCAGUAAGAACUGGGCCCUUCAGAGGGAAGCAGACAGUCAGGGUCCAACGUGGCCUCCAGUAAAACAGUGUUGGGGUUCUCCGUACCUCAAAUGAUGCCCCCUUGGGCCUUUAGCCAACCUGGGGUUCCAGAAAUAAAUGUGGGAGGAGGAACCCCCACUAAGGAGGUGACUUCCUGAACAAAGCAUCCUCCCAAGACCGAGAAUCCGAUAACGCUUCACUCGUACUCCUGGGGGGAGAAGAGUCUCUUCCAAUCAGGCCAAGGUGGCCGUGGGUUUGAUGAGCUGUUGAAUUUCCUGCUGGAAAUUAGCAGCCCAGAGCCCGGCUUCUACAGCAAGGUCAGGCAGCGCUCACGGCACGGACGCGGGAGUGAGAGGGCUGGCGUCGGGGUUUACGGAGUGUAGGGUGCAGGGAGCUUCGUAUUCGCUCUGUGUCUCCAUUUUGCUUUUUGCAGAACGGGCUUUGGUGUGGGUCGAACAUGAACAGGGCAGGCACAGAGCGUGUGCUCUGUGUGAGUCAAUGUUCUGUGCUUUCAUCUUUCAGAGGUGGGGCUAAUAACCUCCUUUACAAACGCGUCAAUCAUUUCUGCCCAGAAUCUCCCAGUUCCUAAGCACUUGGCCUGGGGCUCCACUCCUGACCCCAGAACUGACGGGGUUCCCUCAGGCAGCAGGCUCCAGGAAAACGAACAAAUGAAAACACUUUACUCUUUUUUUUUAAUGGAAUAAGUGAGUCACAUUUUUUUCAGAAGUAACAUUCCAACGUUAGUACAUAGGGUGAAGUCACAAACAGCAGAGUGACUGCCCGCGACACCUUCGUAGCCCUUGAAGUACAGUGACAGCCACAACGCCCCUCCCUGAACGCAUGGGCGGUGCUUCCUGCAGCUGGGACCAGAUUCCCGUGUCUCCAGCCGAGCUCCAGGCCUGGAAGGGGCCUGCACUGAAGGGCCGUGUUGCAUGAAAAGCGUGGUUUCUCUGUGGCACAGACACACCCCUUGGCUCCCUGGAGGAAUGGAGACCCUAUGUGGCAGACAGUGGCCACUAACCAGGUCCAUGGCUUCCCGGUCAGGCUCUGCAGGAGCUGCGGCCUCACCCGGGUCCUAGGCUGUUCACCCCCGUGGCAUAAAGGCCAACCGAGUUGGCGGAGAAAGGAAAUCACCUUAUGCACAGUGAGAGCUCUGCUGGACAUCGAGAGGGUCGUGGCGACACCUGUCGUCUGCAGUGACCUGUGCGCAGCAGCUCUGUGGCGCGCGGCAGCACCAGGGCAUCCGCACGAACCUCCUGUCUGAAUAGAACAGAUGCUGUUGCAGGCCUGGGCUAGUCGAGAGACAGAACUGACUCAGGGUAUUUCGCAGGGAGGAGAUGCCAUGCAGGGAACUGGCGGAAGAAGGAAGGCACCAACCCCAAGGGUGCAGGGCAGCGCAGAGCUUAGCACAGCAGGAAGGCAGCCCGCUGCUCUUCAUCUUGGGCUGGAGGAAAAAGACGGAGGCGAAGCCGGGGCGUCAGUGAAGGCAGGUGCUCCCCGAGAAGCCAGACACACCGGAGGGGGCCAGACAGAGGCCGAGCUGUGGCCUCCCAUCUCUCCGGCCCUCCAUGUCCUGUCGGGGCCUCCCACUGGCCAGGGCUGCUGUGGGUGGGCCUGUUCAGGUUCUUGACAUCACUGCACAAAAUAAUUUGGGAGCAAGUUCAAUAAGAGUGGGCAAAGAAGUUUAUUGCAAAGCGAAAGUGCGCUCCGAUAGCUGGGCGGGAGCGGGCGGCUCCGGAAUGAGAGAGCCAGGCCGGCCCUGGAAACUCCUCGAUGGGGGUCUCCCGUGACUGUCACUGAAGGAGCAGGAUGUUAUCGUGCUGCGGGUGGGCUCCGGGGCCUGCACGUGCCGUUGCUGUACAUGCUGGUACAUACAGUGCAUGUCUCAUUUGUGUUUUAAAUCUCGGCCCAGCAGUGUGCUUUUCACUAUCAUGGUGAGCCAAGUUCACCGUAAGAAUAUGGUUCUUGGCUCGGCCUUGGGAACUUUUCCUCCAACCGAGUCACUCCUCCUUCAGCAAGGAAGCUGCACACUGCAGGUGACCAGAUAUAUCUGCGCCAGCCCCAUUCCGGAGUAUCUGUUACUGACUGGGGCCCUGUGCCAACCUACUGGCCCCAUGUGGCUUGCUCCCAGCCGCCUGGAGGUCAUGCCCAUUCCCUCAGUCACCGACUGCUGGAGGACUGCCCACAAACGGGUGAUGAGGAGGCGGGGGUGCCGCACCCCUGGGAAGCAAAGAGGAGCAAAUCAGCGUCAGUGGGUGGGGCCAAGGGCAGGGGCAAGCGGCCCGCAUGUCCAUGCAUCUUUGAGUUUCCGGGAAGGGAAUUUCAAAUGUUUGCUGUUUUUAAUACAUUGUGGGGCUUGGGGGCCAAUAUUUUAUCAUGGUAAAAUACACAUAACACAAAUUGACUAUCUGAACCAUUUU